CGGGGUGGAGUAACGCGUGGGUAACCUGCCUUAUACAGGGGAGUAACAGUUGGAAACGGCUGCUAAUACCGCAUAAGCGCACGGCAUCGCAUGAUGCAGUGUGAAAAACUCCGGUGGUAUAAGAUGGACCCGCGUUGGAUUAGCUAGUUGGUGAGGUAACGGCCCACCAAGGCGACGAUCCAUAGCCGACCUGAGAGGGUGACCGGCCACAUUGGGACUGAGACACGGCCCAA
This 233-nucleotide ribosomal RNA is filed under the name uncultured bacterium. RNAcentral describes it as "partial 16S ribosomal RNA". It matches the Rfam family "Bacterial small subunit ribosomal RNA", at positions 104 to 334 of the family's 1533-position model. The record is from RNAcentral.